AGGACGAACGCUGGCGGCGUGCCUAACACAUGCAAGUCGAACGAGAUCCAACUUGUGGCAACACUUGUGAAGAUCUAGUGGCGAACGGGUGAGUAACACGUGAGGAACCUACCCCGGAGACCGGGAUAACUGGCCGAAAGGCCAGCUAAUACCGGAUGUCCCCAUCGGAUCGCAUGGUCUGAUGUGGAAAUGGAUUCCGCUCCGGGAGGGCCUCGCGGCCCAUCAGCUCGUUGGUGAGGUAACGGCUCACCAAGGCAUCGACGGGUAGCUGGUCUGAGAGGACGACCAGCCACACUGGGACUGAGACACGGCCCAGACUCCUACGGGAGGCAGCAGUGGGGAAUCUUGCGCAAUGGGCGAAAGCCUGACGCAGCAACGCCGCGUGGGGGAUGAAGGCCUUCGGGUUGUAACCCUUUCAGCAGGGACGAAUUGACGGUACCUGCAGAAGAAGCCCCGGCUAACUACGUGCCAGCAGCCGCGGU
This 482-nucleotide ribosomal RNA is filed under the name uncultured bacterium. Its description in RNAcentral is "SSU rRNA". It matches the Rfam family "Bacterial small subunit ribosomal RNA", at positions 26 to 521 of the family's 1533-position model. The record is from RNAcentral.